Molecule: ribosomal RNA, 483 nt
Filed under: uncultured bacterium
Lineage: Bacteria
Description: partial 16S ribosomal RNA
Rfam family: Bacterial small subunit ribosomal RNA
Source: RNAcentral
GAUGAACGCUGGCGGCGUGCCUAACACAUGCAAGUCGAACGGAGUCGUUUUGGAAAUCUCUUCGGAGAUGGAAUUCUCGACUUAGUGGCGGACGGGUGAGUAACGCGUGAGCAAUCUGCCUUUAAGAGGGGGAUAACAGUCGGAAACGGCUGCUAAUACCGCAUAAAGCAUUAAAUUCGCAUGUUUUUGAUGCCAAAGGAGCAAUCCGCUUUUAGAUGAGCUCGCGUCUGAUUAGCUAGUUGGCGGGGUAACGGACCACCAAGGCGACGAUCAGUAGCCGGACUGAGAGGUUGAACGGCCACAUUGGGACUGAGACACGGCCCAGACUCCUACGGGAGGCAGCAGUGGGGAAUAUUGCGCAAUGGGGGAAACCCUGACGCAGCAACGCCGCGUGAUUGAAGAAGGCCUUCGGGUUGUAAAGAUCUUUAAUCAGGGACGAAACAAAUGACGGUACCUGAAGAAUAAGCUCCGGCUAACUACGUG